GGGUUGUGAGGUUAAGCGACUAAGCGUACACGGUGGAUGCCCUGGCAGUCAGAGGCGAUGAAGGACGUGCUAAUCUGCGAUAAGCGUCGGUAAGGUGAUAUGAACCGUUAUAACCGGCGAUUUCCGAAUGGGGAAACCCAGUGUGUUUCGACACACUAUCAUUAACUGAAUCCAUAGGUUAAUGAGGCGAACCGGGGGAACUGAAACAUCUAAGUACCCCGAGGAAAAGAAAUCAACCGAGAUUCCCCCAGUAGCGGCGAGCGAACGGGGAGCAGCCCAGAGCCUGAAUCAGUGUGUGUGUUAGUGGAAGCGUCUGGAAAGGCGCGCGAUACAGGGUGACAGCCCCGUACACAAAAAUGCACAUGCUGUGAGCUCGAUGAGUAGGGCGGGACACGUGGUAUCCUGUCUGAAUAUGGGGGGACCAUCCUCCAAGGCUAAAUACUCCUGACUGACCGAUAGUGAACCAGUACCGUGAGGGAAAGGCGAAAAGAACCCCGGCGAGGGGAGUGAAAAAGAACCUGAAACCGUGUACGUACAAGCAGUGGGAGCACGCUUAGGCGUGUGACUGCGUACCUUUUGUAUAAUGGGUCAGCGACUUAUAUUCUGUAGCAAGGUUAACCGAAUAGGGGAGCCGAAGGGAAACCGAGUCUUAACUGGGCGUUAAGUUGCAGGGUAUAGACCCGAAACCCGGUGAUCUAGCCAUGGGCAGGUUGAAGGUUGGGUAACACUAACUGGAGGACCGAACCGACUAAUGUUGAAAAAUUAGCGGAUGACUUGUGGCUGGGGGUGAAAGGCCAAUCAAACCGGGAGAUAGCUGGUUCUCCCCGAAAGCUAUUUAGGUAGCGCCUCGUGAAUUCAUCUCCGGGGGUAGAGCACUGUUUCGGCAAGGGGGUCAUCCCGACUUACCAACCCGAUGCAAACUGCGAAUACCGGAGAAUGUUAUCACGGGAGACACACGGCGGGUGCUAACGUCCGUCGUGAAGAGGGAAACAACCCAGACCGCCAGCUAAGGUCCCAAAGUCAUGGUUAAGUGGGAAACGAUGUGGGAAGGCCCAGACAGCCAGGAUGUUGGCUUAGAAGCAGCCAUCAUUUAAAGAAAGCGUAAUAGCUCACUGGUCGAGUCGGCCUGCGCGGAAGAUGUAACGGGGCUAAACCAUGCACCGAAGCUGCGGCAGCGACACUAUGUGUUGUUGGGUA
RNAcentral lists this ribosomal RNA (1197 nucleotides) under Escherichia coli. RNAcentral's name for it is "partial 23S ribosomal RNA". It matches the Rfam family "Bacterial large subunit ribosomal RNA", at positions 1 to 1230 of the family's 2925-position model. Lineage: Bacteria; Pseudomonadati; Pseudomonadota; Gammaproteobacteria; Enterobacterales; Enterobacteriaceae. The record is from RNAcentral.